CCUCAUCCCCCCAUGCCUCCCCCCCUGCGGCCCCACACUUUCCAAUAAGAACUUCGGCUAUUUUUUCACACUUCGUGCUAAGGACAGAGCACCAGCUGGAAGACUCAGUCACACCACCAAGAAAGAAAGCACUUCUUGGGCAUCAAAACCUUGCUAGAGUGCUGGACCAUUGUUUUCCAGAGGCUGUCUAUGGAUAAAAUACAAGCAGGAUACAUCAAGGUUCCUCUCAAGCCCGAGGGCUAAAGGAUGAGUUACAGAGACACAAUGACCUUAAAAAAUGCCCAAAGACUCAGCAUUCUCUGCCAUGAUGCACAUGAACAGAAUGAGGUUAUGUGAGUGCUGCAGUGUAAUAAAACUCUGUCCCAAUUCUUCCUACUCCUACUUGGUAGUAUAUGACAAGUAUAAAGGCAGUGGGAAAGAAAGGCCAAUGUGUCGUGCAUCUUGGAAAAAGGAUGAGUGAGUUAAAAGUUCCAUUUCACACAAGAAUAAUGUACUUUCCUCUUAAAAAUGAAUCACAAGACUUUAUAUCAACUGUUGCAGGUUUGUACCAUGUCAUGAAAAAAGCAUAUUUUUCAAACAGUUGCUGAAAUUAAAGGGGGGAAAAAAACCAAAACAACCAACAAACCCAAGCCCAAACAGAACAAUAUUUAACCAGAAACGAAAAUCUACAGAGAGGUAGAGAUAUACCAAACUAUUCAAAAUUUAAAAAAAAAAGGAUACUUUUUUUCAUUAAGAAAUCUUGCAAGAAUUAACAGUGGUAAGGUAUGAAUAGGUAAAUCAUAAAUCUGGAUUGCAGGAAAAGGAAGUUUGCACACACAGAAGUUUCCAACAGCACACAUGUGAUCAGUGCUUUUUUAACACCCCUCAUCUCUGAUGAGAAAAAGAUCACAAGGAUAUGUCAAAGACUCAUGACCUCUUACAGCGAUCAUUACGCUACUUAUAUGGAGACCUUAUUGCAACCUUUCUGUAUUAAAAUGGACUUACAAGAAAGGUGGAAGGAGGGAGAGAUUGUUACCUGUGUAUACAAGUUUUGCAAACUUGAACAGGAUGUUAUAUGUCACACUCAUAUUUAUUUCCUUUGCUGUAAACUCAUACACAUCUGUGUGAUAAUAUGCAAAAACAAUUACAGACUAUAACUGAAACAAAAGGUUUCUCCAAACCCUGUAUAUUUCCAAUACAAUUAAAAAAAACCUAAAGAAACAAAUAAAAUCCAGAAAUUAAAACAAAGCUGAGAGUGUCCAGAUUACAGAUCUGACUUUUGGUUUACCUGGGAAAAUAUUACUUACAAGCCUCUGAAAAAGCUAUAUAUGUAUGUGCCAGAUUGUUACUAUUAUUUGUGUUCUGUAAAAGGCUCCAGCGCAUCACAUGUUGUGGGGGGAAAAAAAAGAUAGAAGCGUUGCCAUCAUCACUUAAAAGACAUGUAGUUACAGCUAGGACAAGAAUGAACUGAUUAGAUGAUGAGUAUAAGUGGUGAACACAUACCUACAAAGUGACAGAUAACAAAGUGUCCUGGCCUCUAAAAUAUGGUCUUAGAAUUUCAAGAAAGAAGUUUUCAAAAGCCUGAUAUGUUUUUCUGUCACCACAAAUGAAGAGUUUUAAGGAGGUAUUGGAAGAAAACAAUGAUGUGGCUUUUUUGUCUCAGAGAGGCACCAAGAAUUUCAUGCCUGGAGGCGCAAAAGGGCUUCACUGGAGGCAAAGGAGGCUACAGCCACAGACUGACAGGAUAACAGGGUGGGUUCCAAACCGAGUAGGGGAUGUGCCAUGAAGAUCUCUGAAAGCUCCAACAUUUAGAUCUUUCAUGAGAUAAUAGAAUUGGUGAAAGAGAGAGAAAAAGGGUGAAACAGACAAGAUAAUAGGCAAGGAAAACUUGUUUACAGUGACAGCCUGAUUAGAUAUGAAUAGUCCAAUUCUGCAUUUCUUGUGGCUAUUCACUAUAUCCCAGUCUUUAAACUGGGUGCUGGAGGGACAGACUAAGAGAAAUCUGGCUUUAUGAGAGAGUACCCUUUUCAGAAGGCAGAAUCUGGAAGACUUAAGUGUCAAAAGCAACACUUCAGAAGAAAAUCCUUAAAAUACUCCAGGAUAGCACUGCUCAUGAAUUUCUACAGGAAAACCUUCACGGAAGCCUGACAAGUGUAUUAAUUGUUCUUGUUUGGUCUAAUGGAAUUGCUGCUUCUUUAAGAUUCUCCCCAUGUGGAAGGCAAGAACACUUGCCCAGGUGAUCCCACUUGAUGCCAGGUGAUCAAACUGAGCUUUGAAAUAACACCAUUCAAAUGAAGAUUAAAGGUUCUUUGAGGUAAUUUCUUGUUUAAGUUUUGUAAAGUAGGGAUUAAUGAUUAGUGAAGAGAAAUAAUGGGCAAUAAAAUGUCUUGAAGCAGCAAACCAGGACUAACACUAACAAUCUCUAUAUUGGAGACCUGUGCAAUGAAACUAGUGCGAAAAUACUUCCGGUUUAAAACUGAUAAGGAACCAAAAUAAGUGAAAACAGACCAAGAUUUUCUAUUUAUUUUAUCAUUUUUGUUCAACUGAUGAUGAAAUUAACUUGAUAAAAAAGUGCUGAGUAAUAGUUUUAAAACUAUUUUUAAAAAAUUAUGCUCUUUAAAUGACAAGCUUUUCCAGGAACAGAGAUUGUCUGGACUUUUGGUUACUAUGCCCAGAUCAUCAUUCUUCGAUCGUUCUCCCUUACCUUCAUCUCAGAGAAUUGUGGCAGUCCCUGACCCCUGCUGAUUCCUGCAGUAGGAUUUCCAAUACCAGUUUCUUGCCCCAAGGAGAGGGAUUUUGUGUCACUGCAGCUGAUUCUUUGGUCCACUUACACUGAAGCUUAUUUGCAGCUGCCCUCUGGGGGAGAAAAAACAUUAUCACUUUAACAACAGUGAAAUAAGUAAACACAGAGCCAUGGUGGGUUUAGGAACACACCACCACCUCUAUUGAGGGAAAGCUAAAAUAUCAGUGAUUUACAAAUCAGACCAAGCUCCUGGGACAAUCUAUAUCAGAAAUGGUCUCCUACCUGCUCCAAGGAAAGGGACCCAAUAUGAGUAGUCAGAGCUGUGAGAUACACAUUGUUAUUAAUAUCAGAUAGUAAGAGGGCAAAACUACAAACUGUGGCCUCCUGAUUUACACCUCCAAAAUAUUUCCUGGUGGGGAAAGCCCCUAGGCUCCUAGAUGAGAUUUUGUAGACUAAUACUGGAUUUGUCAUUUGCAGAGAAACACCCUGAAAGGCCUAGUUAUCAGGCUGUAAUUCAUUGGUUUACUCUCACUGUUUCCCUUGGCCACAUGACACUUUUCAAUAAAUUAUGAUUAAUGCUGACAGUGGUUGAAUUAAUCUAAAAAACAUCUGAAUGUGUACAGUGCUGGGUAGGUUUGAUGGUCAUGCAGAAAAUGGAGGCUCUUCUUUGUGAGAGCCUGAUCCUUCCAGUAGUUGUGUAAGACCCAAGAGAAUAAGAUGGACUAAUAUUGAUGAUAUUCUCUAUCAUGGUAAUCAAGACUUUAGAGUCAACCUUAGGGUCCUAGGAAGACCCAUAGGUGCCUUUGCACUCUCACUGCCAUGAAAAAGCUUCAAAGAGGUAUGAAUGCAAGGGGAGCAAAUUAAUUUUAGUAUUUCACUCAUAGUGGCAGUGUUUUAAGGACUUUGUUAAUCUCUACCCCAGAAUGGCAGUGAGAAUUAUGACUCAGUCUUUUUGUCAACCCACAGAAUAAAACAGUGGUACCACUGAUGUUGCUAAGAAAGAAGUUUACAGCACACACCAGCUGCCACACACUUGCUACUCUGAACCACUUCUACUACUCACAGCUGUCCCCAACAUAUCCUUAUUUUGUUGUUUUUGUUGCUUCUGUUGUCGCUUAUACUGUUCUCCACUGCUUUGCAGUCCUUUGCGCUUCUGUUGUGCCAUUUUUCUCCACUAACUUCUUUUCACACUCAGUUGCCAAGAAACUGCAUUCUUUAAAGCUGAUCCUGGUGUGUUGUCCCUCUUAUUUGCUACACAUCAAUAAUUACCAGCAGCCACCUACCUGUUCCUGCCUUGAUAAUCUGUUUUUCAGACAAACAUGAAAACCCUUUCUGCAGAGAGCGUUUGUGCUUUUUUGGAAGAGAUUUUGAUUCAGGUGACAUAGCUCUUUUGGGAGUUAGAAAGAAUCGGACUACAAUUUUCUUUCUGAUAUUUGCAUGUGGCUGCUUUGCCUAUUAGACUGAGCAGUCUGAGGAUAGACAGAUGAGGUCACAUUUGCCCCUGUUAAUACUCAUAGGUUUACUUGGGCUGUUAGAAACUGAUGCAGAAAAGACAUGGUGUGAAAAAAUUGGAAGCAAAUUUGGGCAGCAACAUGAAAGGCAGUGAGGUUGUUAACAGGAGAGGUUGAAUUCUUCUUCCAUGUAUUCAUGUCAAAUCUCUAAAUAUUAUAAGUUUGCUUAGCUGCAGAUGAAUGGAAUUUCCACAUUUGUAACUACCAUGUUCUUUUCUUUCCCUCCCUCAUCAUUUCUGCAAUUCAUUUCCCCUCUGACUCACUUUGUUAAUAGUCCUUGUUGACUGCUUUGAAUCAACAGAGGUUUUAUUAAAAGGCUUUGGUAUAAAUUUCACUGCCACACAGUGAAAAUAAGAUUAUUUUUUUAAGUGUCUUUACUAUCAUCUUUGGGACAACAUUUCAGUUUCUCUGUUUAGCCACCAUCAAACUUCAGCUUAAUGUUGUAGUGCCUAAGAGACCUGUGAUAGUGGAGAGAAAAGUGAUUCAAGUAAUUAAAAAAGGAAAAAAAUACAACAUUUCAAUAUAAAGAAGUAUAUAAAAAGAGCAUAACUAGAUCAUCUCAAUUCUUCUCUCCCUCUGUCUCCUAUUACAACACAUGUGUGCAAUUACAACAUCUGUUAUCCUGAUGGCCUGGAAUGUAUCACCAACUUCAGUCAUGGGAUUCUCUAAACUCCGUGAUGUUUAAUAAUAGAUACUCAAAGGAUGCUAUCAAAAUUGAGUGCAAAUGUAAACUCUGGUAAAAAUUGCUAAAUGAUAGGCAAGGGAAAACACACUUAAUUUGCUUUUGUUCUACUAACAGUUGGGCAGGCUACUUUGGUUUGAAAAAAAAAAAUGUCCUGAACUUUUUCACCUUCAGGAGCUUCUAAACCAGAAUUUCAAGCUAUUGCAAAUUAAAGAACUUCAGCUAAGAAGAAAAAGUAAUUUAUUCUCUUAACUCCAUCCACUCAGUUGGACCCACAAGAGUAAACAGUUUCCUCUUUUCCAUGGUAUUAAACGUAUGCAAAUUUGUUUUCCUGAGUCAGAGUCUUAAUUUAGUUUGUCAUUUGAGGCAGAAUCUGCUAAGUUAUACGUUUCAAAAUUAGCCACCAGGAGGGAUAAACAGGAUAAACAUUUUCCUUGGUGAGUUGGUACAAAUACAAAAUACUGGAAGAAAACUUUAAUAAUGCAUUUUGGGAGAGGUUGAUAAUUAGAGGCUUUAUUACUUUCCAAGAUAUUCUGUUGUAACCUUUGCAGCACUAUCCUCAUUUUAUCAGGGUGACUUCACAUGCUCCUUGAUAUUUAGCAGCUGUGCUGUAUAAAAUCUUCAAUCCUGGGUAACUGCAAAAACAUUUUUACAAAAUGUCAAAUGAGUAGGAGGGAUGGAGGGAAAAAAGGAUAUGCCUGCAUAGACAAAUUUUCAUUCUUUCAAAUAGCACAAUUAGUAAAAAUAAUUUUUGUAAAGCUUUCUGAUAACACCUUGCAUGCACAUGCACAGCUCUCAGUCUCCACACAAUAAACCUAAAAAGACAUCUGGAAAACAGAAAAAAUGAGUGAACUAUUGUUCCAGGGAUACAGUAUUUUUUUUCCUGAAUUAAGAACAUUUUCUUCAAGGAUAAGGGAAACAAAGACAAGACUGUUGAGGCAGAUGAUAGCUGAGCUCAAUACACUUACUUAAUCCUUCUUGUCUCCCAUGUUUUGGCAGGGAAAUUGAGAACAAGGAAAGAUUAAGUGCUUUGUUUCAGAUAAAUUAGGAUGCCUGGGAUGGAGAGUCAAAUGUGUCUCCAUGUUCAAGUGGUAUAUGAAUGCAGCUCAGCUUAGCAGGUUGUCUUUUGUAAAUUUCACAGGGACAACAUUUCUGAAUUGCUUUUUAAUAUUUCAUUUUUUCCUUUUGGUCUGCCCUGCACACUUACUGAGUAGGUUUAUGUCUGCCAGCUCCCAUGAAGAGGCAUGGUUUCAUUAUGAGUGAAAGAUUCGCUAAAUCUGUGGCACUGGCAGGCAAGCGCAUAAAUGCCAAGGGCACCACUACAUUAAGCCUUGAGGAAGAACCCUUAUGUCCUUAAGGAACUCCAGGACAAAGAGCACACAAGGUUCCCAUCCUUCCAUACACUGGUAUACAUUUUAUGUGAGAAAUCUAUAUCUUAACACAUGAUAGUAUGUGUACUGCAUGAUCUUGAAAUGCAUAUUUUUAUAUUACUGUACAUGUCUCUUUUCACAGUUAAACUGAAGAAAACUUGUCCAUCAUGUGCAGGCUUUAAAUCUUCAUUGCGUUUCCUCUAUGACACAAUUACAGUGUGACUUUUUUCUUUGUGGAGAAGGUGGAGAACAGUGGAAGCAGAAACAAAGGAUGGAAAGUGGGAAGAAAGAUGUGGGGUGAAGUCACAGCCCCACAACUGAAGUCUGAGGGGUUUGGAAUGUUACAAAGUGUUGGGCCGUUUUCCAUGGGAGCAGUGGAGCUAAUUAGAUAGCUCCCAUGGACACAGCCUUGAGCUGUGUGGCUGAAGUGCAGGUGCGGCAUUCCUCGGUGUUUUUCUGGGAAUAUGUUUGCGUUGUGUGUGUGGGAAAGUAGAAAUGGGAGAACUGAAUAAAAAGCUGCCUGCUGCACUGAGCAGGCAGACAUCUCUUUGUCUCACCAUC
Pipra filicauda (Wire-tailed manakin) is the source of this 6846-nucleotide long non-coding RNA. RefSeq lists it as uncharacterized. The record is from RefSeq and is a predicted model, not a curated record. The transcript is spliced from 2 exons. NCBI's taxonomy places the organism in Eukaryota, Metazoa, Chordata, Aves, Passeriformes, Pipridae.